GGGGGACUGGCACGAGUAAUAAUGAAGGGUGUUACUUCAAGGGAGUGCCAACCUCUGACAUGAGUCACAAAGCCAUGAGGCUGGUUGGGGUGGCGUCUGCAAAGAUAAUGGCUGACUUUGUGACCUUGAGCAAGUCACUUGACCUCCAGGGCCCCAUGUUCUCUCAUCUGUAAAACAAGAGGGUUAAACAAAGUCACUGUGAUGUCCUUCCAUCUCUGUGGUUUCAUGAUUGCUGCGAAUCAUAGCAGAUCAAGGAAAAUCUGAGAACCAGGGGAAGAAAGUAUCAAAGACACACAAAGUCAAUAGUAGAAAGUGCCAAGCUCUGAACCUAGAUAGUGAGAUUCCCUGCCCAGGGCUCUACCCGUCUCAUUAUCGGAAUGAUAAUCUGCAUUAUGACAGUCCCCAUGCCUCUAAAAGGUAAAAUCCCCCCAUAGCCAAGUUUUAUGUUCUCAUGGCCAGAUCUUUCGCUAUCAGUCUGCUCAUGCAUUGCCCAUUCCAGACAGCGUACGUUUUGCUAAAAUGUGGAUCAUCGAUAUGAUGGAAUGCUAUAGGCCACGAUGAGCUAAACGUGGGAGCCCUGGAGACUGGAGCUGCCCCACAGCCAACAUCUGGCCUCUGAGCACUCUGAACUGUGGGAAGGACAGAAGCAGUAGACACAGGGACCCCACCUCAGUCAUCACCACCCUUGGUGUUUUCUCAACUAAAACCCCCAAACCUGGCAUCAGACCGCUCCAUCCCAGUCCCUUGGUCACUGAAAAGCUUCUGGACCAGAGAGGCUCAGACCAAGGGGCUGAGUGUUUAUAACAGGAAAUGAAUCCUGGUUUGGAAGAAGCGGGCGGAGACUCCAAGAGCCAUCUGGAGGAGGUCAUGCUUCCAGCGCUUCCUGUGGAAGACCAGACAGGAAUCAAAAUGGUGUAGCAUUAGCACAAGAAUGGACCCAUCAAUGGGAUUAGGCAGCUCAGAAACAGACCUUACUAUGUAUUUAAGGACUUAAUAAAUGAUAAUAGCCGCCGUAAACCACUGGAGAAGGUGCAAGUGAAGCAAACACUGGGACUGUGGGAAAUCGUCUAUUUGAAAAGGAAUCAGUUUUGAUCCUCACCAUACAGUGCACACUAAAAUUUCACUUAGAUUAAAGAGUUAAAUGUGCAAAAACAAAGAAAAGAGGGGAGGGGGAAAAACAACCCAGAACAUGUCAUUUUCCCCGAAUGGCAAGACUGAAUAGUACAAAGAUGCAAAUGGUUCAUGAAUUAAGAUAAUGUUGAAUCUGAUCCCUUUCAAGUCCCAAAUGGGAUUUUUUUUCUGUUUUCUUUUUCUUUUUUUCUGGAGCUAGACAGCAUGGUUCUAAAAUUCAUCUGGAAAAUUAACAGGAAUGGCCAAUUUUUUUAGAAAACAGAGUCAUUGUAGGAGAUUUGUUCUACCGGAUAAUAAAAUGCUACAUUUCCU
RNAcentral lists this long non-coding RNA (1443 nucleotides) under Mustela putorius furo (domestic ferret). RNAcentral's name for it is "lncRNA (ENSMPUG00000024155.1)". The record is from RNAcentral. Lineage: Eukaryota; Metazoa; Chordata; Mammalia; Carnivora; Mustelidae.